Molecule: long non-coding RNA, 4986 nt
Filed under: Sus scrofa (pig)
Lineage: Eukaryota; Metazoa; Chordata; Mammalia; Artiodactyla; Suidae
Description: lncRNA (ENSSSCG00035065495.1)
Source: RNAcentral
UUUUUUUUUUUUUUUUUUUUUUAAAGGGAGUUGUGUUUAAACAGUCUUCGCAAAAAUCUGGGUAAUUGCUAGUUUAUUCAUAUAAGCUUCUAAAGUCAGAUUUGUAUCUCUUUCUAAUGGCAAAUUUUAUAGAAAGAGCCACGAGGGAACCCUCAUAUUUAUGGGUUACAUUUAAAAAUGUCUGUAAACACAUCUUUUAAAUUCUCAGCCAACACUGGCUUCUUCCGUUCCUCUGUACAGGUGUCCUGUGUCGAGCCCGCACAUCACCACUUGUAACUGAUGCUCUUCCAGGUGUGCCAGCGUGUUGGGAAAUCGCCCAGAGAUGGUGUAGGGGCUGGGGUGAAGUCGGUGGUGUGCUUUGAUAGUGGGGAGACAAGCUUUGUGCUUUUCUCUAGACAAGCAUCCGUCAGGGAUGACCCAGGACCAUUGUUGGUUCUGUCGUUUACAAAAGUACGGAUCACAGCAGCCGUGGAGUGGUGCAAUUCUGGAAGCUGCCAAACAGACUCCACUCACAGUGCAUUAUCAUUAUUUUCAGGGGCAGGGCUCAUGCCAGUUUGUUACUGGGGCCUUCAAAGCUGAGCUUCCAAGGAUGAAACCUUCCUGAUGAAUCUGUGGCAGGAAUUGGGGGAGGGUGUUUAGUCUGCCAGCACCUUGCCAGCUCCUGGGAGAGGAGACUCUGGUGAGCAGCCAAAGGCUGAUGGGCCCCCAGAAAGCCCUGGAACCUCAUGCAGGGAGAGAGACUGGCCUUGAGGUCAGCCAGGGAAGCUCCAGAUAGGAUGCAUUUAUUUGAAAUAACAGCUUUGUUGAGGUAUUAAUCACAUACCGUAAAAUUCACCAUUUAAAAAGUAGAGUUUAAUCUUCAGAGUCGUUUGCGGUUCACAGUAAAACUGAGCAGAAGGCAGAGGGAUUUCCCAUUUACCUUUGGUUACCACCCAUGCGUGGCCUCCCCAUUGCCAGCAGCCCGCGCCAGGAUAGUACAUUUGCUGCAAUCCAUGAACCUACACAGACGCAUCAUUAUCCCCCACAGUCCAGAGCUCACCUUAGGGCUCACUCCACGUGUCCAUUCUGUGGGUUUGGUCAAACGUGUGACGACUUGUGGCUAGCACUAUAGGAUCAUGGAAAGUGGUAUCACUGCUCUAAAGAUCCUGUGUUAAAAUUCACCAUUUUAAAGUGUGCAGUUCAAUGUUUUUUUAAGUGUAUGAACAUGGAAUACAAUGAUCAUGACUGUCUAAUUUCAGAGCAUUUUCAUCACCUCUGAGAUGUAACUCCUUCUCCCCUAACAGUCACUCUCCAUGUCUUUCCAUAGGCCCCUGGCAACUACUCAUCUUUCUGUCUAUGGAUUUUUCUGUUCUGGGUAUUUUGAACCAAUGGAUUCAUGACAUACGGUUUUUUGGUAACUGGCUUUUUCCGCUUUGUAUAAAAUUUUCAAGAUUCAUUCUCUUGUAGCACUCUUUUUCAUUGUCAAAUAAUAUUCCCUGGCUAUAUAACACAUUUUAUUUAUUCAUUCAUGAGUUGAUAUACAUUUGGGUUGUCUUCCAGUUUGUGGUUCUAAUGAUACUAUGUACAUUCAUGCAAAGGUUUUUGUGUGGAUAUAUUUUCUCAAUUCUCUAGGAUGUAUGACCAGGAGUAGAAUUGGUGGGUCUUUUAGCGACUGUAUGUUUAACAUUUUGACAAACUGCCAGACUGUUUUUCACAUUGGCUGGGCCAUUUUACAGCUCCCCCAGCAAUGUAUAAUGGUUCCAGUUUUUCUCUAUCUUCACCAAGACUGGUUAUUGUUCGUCUUUUUGAUUCAUUUAUUCUUUCACUUAUUCAUUCAAUACAUAAUUGCUGAGUACCUGUGUGUGCUAGAGACUAGGGUAGAUGAGUGAGAAAAUUAUACAAGCUUAUGAUAAUUUGGCAGAGAUCACUGCUAAUCAAAGGAUAAUCAAAUAAAAGAAAAAUGCAAGUGUAAGGGGAUUUGUGCGCGAUGCUAUGAGACUGUAUACAAAGGAGGUCUGACUUUGUCCCGGGAGUUCAGGGACAAUUUCCCUUAGGAGGCAGUGAUGGAGCUGAGAUGUGCAAGCUGAAUCGUAUCUCAGUAGAUAGUUGAUUAUACACAGAAGUGUUAGUAUGUCUCUGUGUCAGUUCUUCCUUCGUAAUGUGGAGGUAGCCAGAUCCACGUAAUAGAGUGGUUUGGGGACUCUAUAAAUGCUGUUGUUAGGGAAAGACUAGUGACUUUGCCUCAAUUAUUGACUCUUUGAUUUUCACUUGUAAUCUUCUUCUAGUUUCCCUGUGUCUCCAGAAGAAAGGGUCUCUAGACAAAUGGUAGUGGUGGUGAUGGUGGUGAUGGUGGUGGUGGUCGUGAUGAUGAUGGUGAUGGCUGUAGCAAUGGUGGUGAUGGGAAUGGUGAUGGCCGUAGCAAUGGAGAUGAUAGUGGUGGUGGUGGGGAUGGUGAUGGCUAUAGGAACGGUGAUGAUGGUGGUGGUGGUGGGAAUGGUGGUGGUGAUGGUGAUGGCUGUAGCAAUGGUGGUGGUGGGAAUGGUAAUGGCCAUAGGAACGGUGAUGAUGGUGGUGGUGGUGGUGAUGGUGAUAGUGAUGGCUGUAGCAAUGGUGGUGGGGAUGGUGAUGGCUAUAGGAACGGUGAUGAUGGUGGUUGUGAUGAUAAUGGUGGUGGUGAUGGUGAUGGCUGUAGCAAUGGUGGUGGUGGGAAUGGUGAUGGCCAUAGCAAUGGUGAUGAUGGUGGGGAUGGUGAUGGCUAGGUGAUGGCCAUAGGAACGGUGAUGAUGGUGGUGGGCCAUCGCAGUGGUGAUGAUGGUGGUGGUUUUGGUGAUGUGGUGAUGGUGGGGAUGGUGAUGGCCAUAGGAACGGUGAUGAUGGUGGUGGUGAUGGUGAUGGUGAUGGCCGUCGCAAUGGUGGUGGUGAUGAUGGUGAUGGCCAUAGCAAUGGCGGUGGUUUUGGUGAUGGUGGUGAUGGUGANCAUAGGAACGGUGAUGAUGGUGGUGGUGAUGGUAAUGGUGGUGGUAAUGGUGAUGGUGAUGGCUGUAGCAAUGGUGGUGGUGGGAAUGGUGAUGGCCAUAGCAAUGGUGGUGAUGGUGGUGGGGAUGGUGAUGGCUGUUGCAAUGGUGGUGAUGAUGGUGAUGGCCAUAGCAAUGGCGGUGGUUUUGGUGAUGGUGGUGAUGGUGGUUGAGGUAGGCUGUGAUUUGAUGAGUGCCUUCUAUGUGCCAAGUAGUUUGCCAAGUAAUUUAAAACAUCUUAGUCAUUUCUUUUAAGAGCACUGCAAUAGCAGGAGAUCAGCAUAAGAUUAGAAUGAAGGAGAAAAAUUUUAAAAAUUGCUCAGUUGAUGUUGAACAGAUUGGACUUUGAGUUGAAGAACUGACUCUAAGGCAAAUAUUUCCAAUUCUGUGUUCAGAGAGCACCUGAAAUAGGUACUUGAUUUCAGAAAAGGUCUUUUUAUGCAGUUUAAUUGUUUAUGCUUAGAAGGGUAUUUUAUUUCUUGAAUACGGAACGCAAUUUCUUUUAUUUCAAAUUACUUCUCUGGUGUUAAGCUAAAUGGUUUAGCUUAAUCACAUAUAACAAACCUCCAGUAUAAGGGCCCGGAUCCCAAAUCUUGCUACAAAUUAGUUCCCAGCCCCGGCAAUAAAUGCAUACCUGGAGCAAAUUCAAAAAGGGAAACCACUUUAAUUAAGUUUGAAAGUGUCUCCAAUCAGUUCCAGAAUAGCUGUCGCUGAAUUUAUGAUGCACCUUCCAAACUGUAGCUCUCUUCAUAUCCAGCUGAAGUGAGAAGGCCGCAGAGAGAUCGAACUUGAUUUCUUGAGACCUAAGCAUUUAUCUGCGAAUAAGAGCGUCUAGGAGCCGUGGGUGAGAAUGACGGAAGGCAAGCCGGCUCCCCUUACUUAGGCCUAUCCAUUGCCCUUUGUCACUGUUUCCACUUCAUUGUAAGGGUUCUAGAAGAAGUAAUCCAGUCAGACCUUCUUUGGAGCAUUUGCAUGAGUAUAGUCUGGUCCCACUGAUCUGUCACGCAACAGUGACAUUUAUGCCCAGAUGACAGUAAUGUGGGGCUUUCCUGGAGCAGGAGCUGGCCCUGAGGCUCAGAGAGGUGAAGUGGCCUGAGAAUAUCCCUGAGUUCUGAACCUCAGAACCAGGAUGCAAACUCAUGGUACUCCGGUUCCAGUAUUUUGAGCCCAGGGAACACACUCAGAAGAAAAUGUCAGCGAUGAUAAUAAUGAGAAGUCAUUUCAGUGUGAUUCCUGGCUAUUUUGCGGUUGAGUCUUCUGUUAAUUUUUGUCGGAUUCUUUUAACCUUGUUUUCCCGGCCAUCAUACCUAAGUGUGACAACACAUGAGCACAUAGCAUGGCACGAUGGAAAGGCAAGAAGUCGGAGUUGGAAAAGCAGAGCUUGGCUUUGCACUUCUCAGUACUGUGACUUUGGGCUUCACAACUCUGACUCUCUGAUGGGAAGUUGUGGGUGAAGACGAAGGGAGAAAACGCCUUGUAGACGUUAAACUGCCUUCUUUGUGACUGCUUUUAACAUCUGUAAGAGCGUGAUUGAGUCUGGCAGGCCGGGUCUGCAAGGUGUGCUCUGAGAGGUCAUUGGAGGCGUCCUGCUGUGUCAGAACGUCACAGGGACCCCUGAGCUCUCCCCCAGGUCUUUAAUUCUUGUGUAAAUGGCGUAGUGAUUGUGAAGAAGGGAGGACCUCAGGGUUGGGAUUCCUGGUGUCCCACAGUGUGCUGGACACUGUCCCAAAUGCUUUGUGCCUGUCAUUUAAGUAAUCUAUGUGAUUGGUCGUCUCAGUAGAAUUACUUCACACAUGAAAACUGAGCACAGUUGGGUUCGUUUUGCUUCAGUUAGCUAUGUGGUAAUUUCCUUUGAUUCUAACCUCUUUUCCCUUCCUUUUCCUGGUUGUUAUUAAGGGAGUUUGCCCAUGGAGGCUUAACUCUUUUUCCUAGAUGACUGUCGUAUAAUUUUAAUCUGAUGGUAGGAUGUGGUGAGAUGAUGUGGUAGACAGGA